GACGAACGCUGGCGGCGUGCUUGACACAUGCAAGUCGAACGGAAAGGCCUGCUUUCCCUUGUGGAUUGCGGGUACUCGAGUGGCGAACGGGUGAGUAACACGUGAGUGAUCUGCCCCCAACUUGGGUAUAAGCCUGGGAAACUGGGUCUAAUUCCCGAUAGGACUGCAGGGUGGUGCCUGUGGUGGAAAACGAUUUUCUAGUGGUUGGGGAUGAGCUCGCGGCCUAUCAGCUUGUUGGUGGGGUAAUGGCCUACCAAGGCGGCGACGGGUAGCCGGCCUGAGAGGGUGGACGGCCACAUUGGGACUGAGAUACGGCCCAGACUCCUACGGGAGGCAGCAGUGGGGAAUAUGGCACAAUGGGCGGAAGCCUGAUGCAGCGACGCCGCGUGGGGGAUGACGGCCUUCGGGUGGUAAACUCCUUUCGACCGCGAGGAAGCCACCUGGUUGGAAGGGUGGUGACGGUAGUGGUAGAAGAAGCACCGGCUAACUACGUG
RNAcentral lists this ribosomal RNA (494 nucleotides) under uncultured bacterium. RNAcentral describes it as "partial 16S ribosomal RNA". It matches the Rfam family "Bacterial small subunit ribosomal RNA", at positions 28 to 507 of the family's 1533-position model. The record is from RNAcentral.